ACCCUUUAAUGUUUGAUGUUCUAACGUGGACCCGUGAUCCGGGUUGCGGACAGUGUCUGGUGGGUAGUUUGACUGGGGCGGUCUCCUCCUAAAGAGUAACGGAGGAGCACGAAGGUUGGCUAAUCCUGGUCGGACAUCAGGAGGUUAGUGCAAUGGCAUAAGCCAGCUUGACUGCGAGCGUGACGGCGCGAGCAGGUGCGAAAGCAGGUCAUAGUGAUCCGGUGGUUCUGAAUGGAAGGGCCAUCGCUCAACGGAUAAAAGGUACUCCGGGGAUAACAGGCUGAUACCGCCCAAGAGUUCAUAUCGACGGCGGUGUUUGGCACCUCGAUGUCGGCUCAUCACAUCCUGGGGCUGAAGUAGGUCCCAAGGGUAUGGCUGUUCGCCAUUUAAAGUGGUACGCGAGCUGGGUUUAGAACGUCGUGAGACAGUUCGGUCCCUAUCUGCCGUGGGCGCUGGAGAACUGAGGGGGGCUGCUCCUAGUACGAGAGGACCGGAGUGGACGCAUCACUGGUGUUCGGGUUGUCAUGCCAAUGGCACUGCCCGGUAGCUAAAUGCGGAAGAGAUAAGUGCUGAAAGCAUCUAAGCACGAAACUUGCCCCGAGAUGAGUUCUCCCUGAGACUUAAAGUCUCCUGA
RNAcentral lists this ribosomal RNA (634 nucleotides) under Salmonella enterica. RNAcentral's name for it is "partial 23S ribosomal RNA". It matches the Rfam family "Bacterial large subunit ribosomal RNA", at positions 2202 to 2831 of the family's 2925-position model. The record is from RNAcentral. RNAcentral also lists the same sequence under 1 other name. Lineage: Bacteria; Pseudomonadati; Pseudomonadota; Gammaproteobacteria; Enterobacterales; Enterobacteriaceae.